UACGUAGGGUGCAAGCGUUGUCCGGAAUUAUUGGGCGUAAAGAGCUCGUAGGCGGUCCGUCGCGUCGGGAGUGAAAACCCGUGGCUCAACCACGGGCCUGCAUCCGAUACUGGCGGGCUCGAGGCAGGCAGGGGAGAUCGGAAUUCCUGGUGUAGCGGUGAAAUGCGCAGAUAUCAGGAGGAACACCGGUGGCGAAGGCGGAUCUCUGGGCCUGUCCUGACGCUCAGGCGCGAAAGCUAGGGGAGCAAACAGG
RNAcentral lists this ribosomal RNA (253 nucleotides) under uncultured bacterium. Its description in RNAcentral is "partial 16S ribosomal RNA". It matches the Rfam family "Bacterial small subunit ribosomal RNA", at positions 524 to 776 of the family's 1533-position model. The record is from RNAcentral.